Molecule: ribosomal RNA, 500 nt
Filed under: uncultured bacterium
Lineage: Bacteria
Description: partial 16S ribosomal RNA
Rfam family: Bacterial small subunit ribosomal RNA
Source: RNAcentral
AUUGAACGCUGGCGGCAGGCCUAACACAUGCAAGUCGAGCGGCAGCGGGACCUUCGGGUCGCCGGCGAGCGGCGGACGGGUGAGUAAUGCCUAGGAAUCUGCCUGUUAGUGGGGGAUAACGCGGGGAAACUCGCGCUAAUACCGCAUACGUCCUCCGGGAGAAAGCGGGGGCUCUUCGGACCUCGCGCUAACAGAUGAGCAUAGGUCGGAGUAGCUAGUUGGUGGGGUAAUGGCCCACCAAGGCGAGGAUCCGUAACUGGUCUGAGAGGAUGAUCAGUCACACUGGAACUGAGACACGGUCCAGACUCCUACGGGAGGCAGCAGUGGGGAAUAUUGGACAAUGGGCGAAAGCCUGAUCCAGCCAUGCCGCGUGUGUGAAGAAGGUCUUCGGAUUGUAAAGCACUUUAAGUUGGGAGGAAGGGCUGUAGGCUAAUAUCCUGCAGUUUUGACGUUACCGACAGAAUAAGCACCGGCUAACUUCGUGCCAGCCGCCGCAGUAA